This 445-nucleotide ribosomal RNA is filed under the name uncultured bacterium. RNAcentral's name for it is "partial 16S ribosomal RNA". It matches the Rfam family "Bacterial small subunit ribosomal RNA", at positions 354 to 796 of the family's 1533-position model. The record is from RNAcentral.
GUGAGGAAUAUUGGUCAAUGGGCGGAAGCCUGAACCAGCCAUGCCGCGUGAAGGAUGAAGGUUCUAUGGAUUGUAAACUUCUUUUAUUUGGGAAUAAACCCUCCGACGUGUUGGAGGCUGAAGGUACCAAAUGAAUAAGCACCGGCUAACUCCGUGCCAGCAGCCGCGGUAAUACGGAGGGUGCAAGCGUUAUCCGGAAUCAUUGGGUUUAAAGGGGCCGCAGGCGGAUUUAUAAGUCAGUGGUGAAAGCCUACAGCUCAACUGUAGAACUGCCAUUGAUACUGUAAGUCUUGAAUUCGGUCGAAGUGGGCGGAAUAUGACAUGUAGCGGUGAAAUGCAUAGAUAUGUCAUAGAACACCGAUAGCGAAGGCAGCUCACUAGGCCUGAAUUGACGCUCAUGGACGAAAGCGUGGGGAGCAAACAGGAUUAGAUACCCCUGUAGUCC